GGUCGCUUAGCUCAGCUGGUUAGAGCGUGGUGCUAAUAACGCCAAGGUCGUGAGUUCGAUCCUCAUAGUGAUCA
This 74-nucleotide transfer RNA is filed under the name Sclerotinia borealis F-4128. RNAcentral describes it as "tRNA-Ile (AAT) (tRNA-Ile-AAT-1-1)". It matches the Rfam family "tRNA". Rfam says of the family: Transfer RNA (tRNA) molecules are approximately 80 nucleotides in length. The record is from RNAcentral. Lineage: Eukaryota; Fungi; Ascomycota; Leotiomycetes; Helotiales; Sclerotiniaceae.